AACAAAAGAAGCUAGCCAGAGGUGCUGAGAGUGAGGAUUCUAACAAAAUACGGAAAUCACAUGGCUCAACUCCAUGUCAAUCUCCAGUCCAUACAAUACUACAAAGAAGUGAGACAUGCUGUCUGGAACAUGAUGUGCUCUACUAGCUUCAUUUGGCUCCUGAACUGAUUCUGUGUCCUCUGGUUGGAGUCUUAUUUUGGAAAUGGAGAGACUAAUAUAAUCUGCCCUGCUAACUGGGAUGGCCAGUCAUGAUCACUUGCAAUGAUUUAAAGGUACUGUACAGGAGCCAGACUGCGAAGCAAUUUGAGAGCUGAGGACGGCAUCAAAUUCAUCAGAGAAACCAGCAGACAGCUCCCUUAUCCAUGUGGCAUCCUCCCAUGUGCAAUUUGUGUCAGUCAAUCUCAGUAAACGUCCAAGAAAACCAAU
This is a long non-coding RNA of Amphimedon queenslandica, 426 nucleotides long. RefSeq lists it as uncharacterized. The transcript is spliced from 3 exons. The record is from RefSeq and is a predicted model, not a curated record. Lineage: Eukaryota; Metazoa; Porifera; Demospongiae; Haplosclerida; Niphatidae.